Molecule: ribosomal RNA, 506 nt
Filed under: uncultured bacterium
Lineage: Bacteria
Description: partial 16S ribosomal RNA
Rfam family: Bacterial small subunit ribosomal RNA
Source: RNAcentral
AGUGAACGCUGGCGGUAGGCCUAACACAUGCAAGUCGAACGGCAGCACAGAGGAGCUUGCUCCUUGGGUGGCGAGUGGCGGACGGGUGAGGAAUACAUCGGAAUCUACUCUGUCGUGGGGGAUAACGUAGGGAAACUUACGCUAAUACCGCAUACGACCUACGGGUGAAAGCAGGGGAUCUUCGGACCUUGCGCGAUUGAAUGAGCCGAUGUCGGAUUAGCUAGUUGGCGGGGUAAAGGCCCACCAAGGCGACGAUCCGUAGCUGGUCUGAAAGGAUGAUCAGCCACACUGGAACUGAGACACGGUCCAGACUCCUACGGGAGGCAGCAGUGGGGAAUAUUGGACAAUGGGCGCAAGCCUGAUCCAGCCAUCCCGCGUGGGUGAAGAAGGCCUUCGGGUUGUAAAGCCCUUUUGUUGGGAAAGAAAUCCAUCUGGUUAAUACCCGGGUGGGAUGACGGUACCCAAAGAAUAAGCACCGGCUAACUUCGUGCCAGCAGCCGCCGUAA